This 118-nucleotide ribosomal RNA is filed under the name uncultured bacterium. RNAcentral's name for it is "partial 16S ribosomal RNA". It matches the Rfam family "Bacterial small subunit ribosomal RNA", at positions 1383 to 1500 of the family's 1533-position model. The record is from RNAcentral.
GUACACACCGCCCGUCCACACCAUGAGAGUUGGGAAUACCCGAAGCCUGUGAGCUAACUUAUAGAGGCAGCAGUCGAAGGUAGAAUCAAUGAUUGGGGUGAAGUCGUAACAAGGUAAC